UCCCCUUGACGAUUAAAAAACGACUAAUCUCCUGGGCGAUUGAAAGAAGACUCAUAAAUGACCCUUCCAUAGUCUCAAAGUAUGAUUGCUUUCAAAUACAAAAACGAAAUGCAAAGCAAUCGCCAAAUAAGCAUGCAGGUGAUUAAAAUAUUAUCAUUGCUUGGUUUUGCUUUGUUACUAUGCACUCAUAUUCUGCUCGCUUGGCUGAUCGAAAAGCGAUUCUUAUCUAAGCUUAUAUCUAAGUUAAACGGUACUUUUUCUUAAGCACAAGCCGAAAUGUGCAAAUUUUGUCAUUCGAGCGUGAAAGUGCAAAUGAAGUGCAAGUGCGAAGUGCAUACAAAUAAAUUAUAUCAAUUAUAUCAAAUACAAAUAAAAAGGAACAUCUAAUAUCGAGAGUUGGAGGAGAUGGGCCCACACAAUUUGUUAGAGCUGCGAUCAGAAAAGUUUUUUCGGACAAGGUAGCUUCCGAAACCAGGUGGAAGGGGACAAAAAUUAAACCAUCAGCAGAAAGGUGUUACAUUAUAGCCGUAAUAAAAAAUAUUGCUAAUGAAAAAUUUACAUGCACUGAUAAGGAUUUAAAUACGGUGCUAAAAAAGCAUUUUGUCCGUGCCAAUGACAGGCUGGAAAAAAAUUCUUUUCAUUGCAAAUUAUUGAAAAUUUCAAUCGAAUAUGAGUCAAAAAAUGAUUAAAUUAUGACUCGUGGAAGACUCUUUUAUGAUUAAAAGAUGACUCGUGGAAGACUCUUUUAUGAUUAAAAACAAGAGUCAUAAGCGACUCAUCAAGAAGAGUCGCGGGUAGGGUACCAUUUUCUCCCGACAGAACAGUCUUUUAUGAUCAGAAAAUGAGCGCACAUAUGACUGUUUUCAAUCAUCGCGCGAGUCUUUUAAGACUAACUUAUGCUCUGUUAAACGCAAAAAUGCUUGCUGGGGUACCAUUUUCUUCCGACAGAACAGUCUUUUAUGAUCAGAAAAUGAGCGCACAUAUGACUGUUUUCAAUCAUCGCGCGAGUCUUUUAAGACUAACUUAUGCUCUGUUAAACGCAAAAAUGCUUGCUGGGAAGCGACUUAUCAAGAAGAGUCGCGGCUAGGGUAUCAUUUUCUCCCGACAGAACAGUCUUUUAUGAUCAGAAAAUGAGCGCAAAUAUAUCUAUUUUCAAUCGUCGCGCGAGUCUUUUAAGACUAACUUAUGCUCUGUUAAACUCAAAAAUGCUGGGUGGGUACACUAACCAGAGAACACAUAGACCGGACACGUAGUGUAAAGCGUUUUAAACACUUUUUUUCGAGCGUUAACACC
This 1293-nucleotide small RNA is filed under the name Drosophila mojavensis. RNAcentral's name for it is "GI26320". The record is from RNAcentral. Lineage: Eukaryota; Metazoa; Arthropoda; Insecta; Diptera; Drosophilidae.